CACGAACGCUGGCGGCAUGCCUAACACAUGCAAGUCGAACGAGACCUUCGGGUCUAGUGGCGCACGGGUGCGUAACGCGUGGGAAUCUGCCCUUAGGUUCGGAAUAACUCAGGGAAACUUGAGCUAAUACCGGAUGAUGACUUCGGUCCAAAGAUUUAUCGCCUAAGGAUGAGCCCGCGUAAGAUUAGCUUGUUGGUGAGGUAAAGGCUCACCAAGGCUACGAUCUAGUCUGGUCUGAGAGGAUGAUCAGCCACACUGGGACUGAGACACGGCCCAGACUCCUACGGGAGGCAGCAGUGGGGAAUAUUGGACAAUGGGCGAAAGCCUGAUCCAGCAAUGCCGCGUGAGUGAUGAAGGCCUUAGGGUUGUAAAGCUCUUUUACCCGGGAUGAUAAUGACAGUACCGGGAGAAUAAGCUCCGGCUAACUCCGUGCCAGCCGCCGCAGUAAU
This 449-nucleotide ribosomal RNA is filed under the name uncultured bacterium. Its description in RNAcentral is "bacterial SSU rRNA". It matches the Rfam family "Bacterial small subunit ribosomal RNA", at positions 29 to 524 of the family's 1533-position model. The record is from RNAcentral.